UCAGGGGUUACUCAAGGAAAAUGCAAAUGGUAGCAAAUACUGGGCAUAUGGAGGUGACUUUGGAGAUACACCAAAUGACUUAAAUUUCUGCUUAAAUGGUCUCAUAUGGCCUGAUCGGACUCCUCAUCCUGCUCUAAAUGAGGUCAAGUAUUGCUAUCAACCAAUUAAAAUUUCGUUCACCAAUGGCGUAAUUAAGAUUACAAACACCAAUUUCUUUCAAACAACAGAAGAUUUAGAGUUUAAUUGGGUGAUUGAAGGUGAUGGAUGUAAACUUGAUUCUGGAACUCUCAGUCUACCAACAUUAGAG
Long non-coding RNA from Lactuca sativa (garden lettuce), 307 nucleotides. RefSeq lists it as uncharacterized. The record is from RefSeq and is a predicted model, not a curated record. NCBI's taxonomy places the organism in Eukaryota, Viridiplantae, Streptophyta, Magnoliopsida, Asterales, Asteraceae.